ACGGAAGGCAGCAGUGGGGAAUAUUGGACAAUGGGGGCAACCCUGAUCCAGCGACGCCGCGUGAGUGAAGAAGUAUUUCGGUAUGUAAAGCUCUAUCAGUAGGGAAGAAAAAUGACAGUACCUAACUAAGAAGCACCGGCAAACUUCGUGCCAGCAGCCGCGGUAAUACGAGGGGUGCAAGCGUUGUUCGGAAUCACUGGGCGUAAAGGGAGCGCAGGCGGGGAUGCAAGCAGUCUGUACAAUACCGGGGCCCAACCCCGGACCUGCAGACUGGACUGUUUCCCUUGGAUAGCUCAGGGGCUGGCGGAAUUCCUGGUGUAGCGGUGGAAUGCGUAGAGAUCAGGAAGAACACCGAUGGCGAAGGCAGCCAGCUGGGGGCUUAUCGACGCUCAUGCUCGAAAGUGCGGGUAGCAAACAGGAUUAGAUACCCUGGUA
Molecule: ribosomal RNA, 435 nt
Filed under: uncultured Fibrobacter sp.
Lineage: Bacteria; Pseudomonadati; Fibrobacterota; Fibrobacteria; Fibrobacterales; Fibrobacteraceae
Description: partial 16S ribosomal RNA
Rfam family: Bacterial small subunit ribosomal RNA
Source: RNAcentral